GACGAACGCUGGCGGCGUGCUUAACACAUGCAAGUCGAACGGAAAGGCCCUGCUUUUGUGGGGUGCUCGAGUGGCGAACGGGUGAGUAACACGUGAGUAACCUGCCCUUGACUUUGGGAUAACUUCAGGAAACUGGGGCUAAUACCGGAUAGGAGCUCCUGCUGCAUGGUGGGGGUUGGAAAGUUUCGGCGGUUGGGGAUGGACUCGCGGCUUAUCAGCUUGUUGGUGGGGUAGUGGCUUACCAAGGCUUUGACGGGUAGCCGGCCUGAGAGGGUGACCGGCCACAAUGGGCCUGCGAUACGGCCCAGAAUCCUACGGGCGGCAGCAGUGGGGAAUCUUGCACAAUGGGCGGAAGCCUGAUGCAGCAACGCCGCGUGCGGGAUGACGGCCUUCGGGUUGUAAACCGAUUUCGCCUGUGACGAAGCGUGAGUGACGGUAAUGGGUAAAGAAGCAACGGCUAACUACGUG
RNAcentral lists this ribosomal RNA (468 nucleotides) under uncultured bacterium. RNAcentral describes it as "partial 16S ribosomal RNA". It matches the Rfam family "Bacterial small subunit ribosomal RNA", at positions 28 to 507 of the family's 1533-position model. The record is from RNAcentral.